Molecule: long non-coding RNA, 1154 nt
Organism: Brassica napus (rape)
Lineage: Eukaryota; Viridiplantae; Streptophyta; Magnoliopsida; Brassicales; Brassicaceae
Exons: 2
Source: RefSeq, a predicted model, not a curated record
CUACGAAAUUUUUUGUAGGUCUUUAUAAAAUAGCCACGAAAUGCCACGGUUUUUUUGUACAUGCUUAAAACCCUAGACCCUAAAAUUCUUUUAAACCCUAAAUAUAAACCUUAAAACUCUAUUUUUUCAUAAUUUAACUUAAAUCUUAAAUUUAAAUUCAUAAUUUAAUUUCAAAUCAUAAUUUAAACUUCAAAUACUAUAUUCCAACCCCUUACUCAAAACUUUAUAUUCCAUAUACACUAAACUUUACUAUACAUAAAAUACUCUAAAUAUAAACUUCAAAACUAAAAUUUUGAAAAUUUAACUACAAAACUUAGACCUAAUAUUCAAAAUCUAAUAUUUUCAUACUCUGAUCCAAAAUCUUAAAUCAUAGUCUUGAUAUUAAUCAAAUAUUUUCAAACUUAAACAUCAAUUCUUAAAAUAAAUAUAAACUUAUUAUGUUCAAAAAAGAAAACUCUAAACUUAAAUUAUAAACUCGAAAAUACAAAAUUUUAUAUAAGGUAUAACUAAGAAAAAUUACUUAGAAAACAAAUUAUCAAAUAUUUAAGAACAAAACAAAAAUAAAAAUAGAAAAAGAAAGACAAAAUUUCGGGCCAAUCAGAUUCAAAUACAUAGAUCACACUCUUAACCAUUGGAUUAACUUAGAUCUAAAAGUAGAGAUUUAUUCAAUUCAAUUUUUAUUUUUUUCUUCUCUCUCUCUCACGACAUAUCUCAUCUCAUCUCCUUCUCUGCUUUUUUUUUCCCGAUUCUCUCUUCACUCUAACCUCUCAUAUCUCUCUUCUCUCUCAUCUCUCUCAACGCUUCUCUCAUCUCGCCCAUCUCUCUCAACGCCUCUCUCAUCUUACCACCACCGUGUCUCCUCCUCGUCUCACCACCACUGUUUUCCCCCUUGUCUCACCACCACCACGGUGGAGGAGCCAAGGUUCAUGGUGGCUGGAGGAAGCAAGGUUCAUGGCUGCUGGAAGAGGGACAAGGCUAUGGAGGAGGCGGCAUGAGUUUUUUCUUUAGGUUUAGGUUAGGUCUGGUUAAGUGUAAACCGAGUUAGAAAAAAUGUAGUGGUCUGAUUUUAUUUUUUAAUUUCUGGUUUAGUUUUGUAAACCAGAAUUAAUCUGUAAACCAAAUUUAAUUUAUUAAUAAAAUUUAUUUUAUUUUCA